Molecule: long non-coding RNA, 699 nt
Filed under: Homo sapiens (human)
Lineage: Eukaryota; Metazoa; Chordata; Mammalia; Primates; Hominidae
Description: HSALNT0025004
Source: RNAcentral
GGCAGUGUGUGUGUGAUGUUGCAUCUCUGGCCCUGGAAGGGAGACAGAGGUCACCUUCUUGGGAGUCAGAGUUGGCCCCUCAGCUGCCAGGGGUGCAGCUGAGCAGCUUCAGAGGACUGACUGCAGAGACCAGGAAGGGGCCAUUCACUCUGAUGGGAAUUGGGAAUCAUUGAUGCUCGAGCAGGAGGUGGGAUGUCAGUCUCUUCUGCCUUCUGACUUAGGUUCUGACUGGAACUAUCACCAUCAGCUCUCCUGGGUCUGGACUUCUCAGCCUUCAUAAUCACAUCUGAUGGUUUAUCAGUUCAACCACUCUCAUCUCUUUGAUCUUCCACCAUCCUUGGCUUAACUCCCAAUUCUGAGGACCAGUCCCACCAGUUUGUCAUCUCUGCUUCUGUAUCCAUGUUGCUAAGGAUUUCUGAGGAAAACUGCAAAAUUGUUCAAAUUGAUGCCUUUAUGAUGCCAUUGUCUCUGAUGCCAGGAUACCACCUCUGCUCAUUGAAAGACGGUGUUUGGUGGAGAGGAAGACGAAAGAUUUGGGGAGCAUGGGUACUACCUGAGCGGAGUCUGACACCAUUGAUGGACUCAGGUUCCUACAUUGUUGAGGCCCGAGUUGAAAAGUAAGUCAAACCGAACACAUUUGGAGAGCAGUAUAGUGGAAUAAACUCUGCUGUGGAGAGCUGUUGGGCUAACAACAACAAC